Molecule: long non-coding RNA, 2604 nt
Filed under: Canis lupus familiaris (dog)
Lineage: Eukaryota; Metazoa; Chordata; Mammalia; Carnivora; Canidae
Description: lncRNA (ENSCAFG00845018302.1)
Source: RNAcentral
UUUUAUUUAUUCUUGAGAGAUGCACAGAGAGAGGCAGAGACAUAGGUAGAGGCCUAAGCAGGCUCCCUGCAGAGAGCCUGAUUCAGGAUUUGAACCCAGGACCCUAUGAUCACAACCUUAGCCAAAGGCAGACCCUCAACCACUGAGCCACCUAGGAACCCCGGUGUACUAUUUUCAGACAUUAAUUUCAUGAAAUGAAGUAAUGGUGUUUCUGGCUUUUAAAUAAUUAUUUAAACACAAAAAUUUCUUAAAUAACAGUAAUUUCUGAUGCCUUAAAAAACCCUAUUUUAUUUUUAAAAAGGCAGAAGACCAAUAUGCAAUCAUAUUUCCUCAGUUAAUUUUGUAUUUUCAGAAAACUCACUUGACCUUGGACAAUUUAGCACGUACAUUUAUUAAAAGAUAAUACUUGCUUUAUGCAUCUUCAGAAUUAUUGCUGAAUCAAAUAAAAUACAGAAUAUAUUACUGAAAAGUAUUCUAAAAUUCAGUAUAAUGGAAAAAGAGCACAUUUAAAUUGUGGCUUUCAAGCUAGUGAAUGGAAGAAGAUAAAUCCAAUAUGGGGUUAAUCCCCAAAAUAUAUAAGGAACUUAUGUAACUUAACACCAAAAAAAAAAAAACCCCAAACAAUCUGAUUAAAAAAUGGGCAGAGGACCUAAACAGACAUUUUUCCAAAUAUAUACAGAUGGCCAACGCACACAUGAAAAGAUGCUCAGCAUCACUAAUCAUCAGAGAAAUGCAAAUCAAAACUAUAACUAGAUAUCACUUCACAUCAAUCAGAAUGGCUAAAAUCAGAAACACAAGAAACAAGUAUUGGCAAAGAUGUGGAGAAAAAGGAACCAUAUAAACUGUUGGUGGGAAUGUAAAUUUGUGCAACCACUGCGGAAAACAAUAUGGAAGUUCCUUGAAAAAUUAAAAAUAAAAAUACCAUACAUUCUAAUAGUUCCACUAGUGGACAUUCACCCAAAGAAAAUGAAAACACUAAUUUGAAAAGAUUUAUGCACCCCUACAUUUAUUGUGGCAUUAUUUACAAUAUUCAAGAUAUGGAAGCAACUCAAGUGUCCAUGAUAGACAAGUGGAUAAAGAAGAUAUAGUAUAUAUUUACAUAUAUUUUGGAAUAUAUAUUCUUUCCCUGCUAAGGUUUAUAUUCCAGUGCAGGAAAUAUAGAGAUCCUAUCUUCUUGAUAAAGAUUUUGAGAAAGAAAUAGGAAAAUAAAAAUAUGAAAAAAAGAAAAUAUGUAGCACAUUGCCUGGCAUGAAGUUGAUGUUCAUUAAAUGGUAACUAAAAAGCAAUUUUUGUAUAAAUUAGGCAUAUUUCAUUAUCAAGAGGAAAUUUUACUGCUAAUACUGAUGUACACGCAAGAUGAAUAGUUUUAUUAGUCAUGAAUUUAACACUGUAUUUAUUCAAAUGUUAUUAAGAUUAUUGGUGUAAAGCAGGGAGCUAUUAGGUGAAUUCAUCAAAAACCAUGUAACAUUUUGAAGUUAUAAAAAAAUAAAGUCUUUUACCAACUGAGAACUUUGUGAAUGGCAGCCUUUUUCUCACUAUAGGGUUGGUGAAUAAUGACUGAGCGGAAUGCAUGGUGAGAUCAACCAUCCGCAGCAAUGCAGGCAACAUAACACUGCAUCCAGGAACAUACCAGUUCUGCAGAGCAAAUUAUUAAGAAAAUGUGUUUCUGGUAGAAAUUUUAUUUGUAUUGUCCAAGACAAUGAAAAAGACCACUUUCCAAACAUAGGCUGUUUAAUUCCAGCUCUCCACAGGUGGAGGGAAAGCCCUGAAUUACAGAAUUUUCAAAUUUCUGUGGUGUUCUGAUUUUGUACUGUUCAAUUAUUCUAAUGACUUACUUAUUCAGCAUUGCCAGGGAAUGAAGCAAAAUUAUUACUGAAAUGUAGAUACACUUAAGAAAAUAUUUCACACAUGCAGAAAGAUAAAGACUAUAUAAUGAAACAUUCAUGUAUCCAUGUCCUAGAUAGAAAAAUGUUAACUUUCUGCCCUAUUUUCUUCAGUUAAGUAUAUAUUAGGUUUUGGAAACUAUAUUCUCAUAAAACAAAAUAAUUCAUUCAAGGACAUUGAGUCCCACAUAAAUUAGUCCUACAAAUAUAUAUUUUUUUAAAUCAAGAAAAAAAUAUAACAUUUGGAAAUAUCCUUAUUUUGUGUAAAAAUAAUGUAAGCCUUAAAAAAAAGGUAAUUUCAUGUGAUAUUUACUUUUGCCUAUGAGUCAAAAGGAUAAUAAAAAAGAUAUAUUCUGCAUUUUAUAUAUUUGUAUGUGCACAUAUAUUUCUUGCUUAUGAAAUAAUCUCUGAUACCAACUACCCAGAUUUGGGCUAAAUCUUGCAAAAGAGUGCCCUUCAUCCAAUACCAGCUGCAGGUUCAAGGGUCUCCAGGUCUCUCACUCUUCUGAAUAGUUAUCUACAGGUUCAAGGGGUUCCACUACCCCCUCAGAUUCAAUAAUUCACUAGAUUGAUUCACAUAAGUCAGGAAAGUGCUACACUAUGAUUAGAGGUUUAUUAUUGCAAAAGGACACAAGUCAGAACUAGCUAAAAAGAAGAGAUGCAUAGGGUAAUAAUAAGCUUCCAUUGUCCUUUCUUCAUGGAAUGGGGACAUGCCACCCUC